This 71-nucleotide transfer RNA is filed under the name Methylobacterium oryzae CBMB20. Its description in RNAcentral is "tRNA-Leu (CAG) (tRNA-Leu-CAG-2-1)". It matches the Rfam family "tRNA". Rfam says of the family: Transfer RNA (tRNA) molecules are approximately 80 nucleotides in length. Their secondary structure includes four short double-helical elements and three loops (D, anti-codon, and T loops). Further hydrogen bonds mediate the characteristic L-shaped molecular structure. tRNAs have two regions of fundamental functional importance: the anti-codon, which is responsible for specific mRNA codon recognition, and the 3' end, to which the tRNAs corresponding amino acid is attached (by aminoacyl-tRNA synthetases). tRNAs cope with the degeneracy of the genetic code in two manners: having more than one tRNA (with a specific anti-codon) for a particular amino acid; and 'wobble' base-pairing, i.e. permitting non-standard base-pairing at the 3rd anti-codon position. Lineage: Bacteria; Pseudomonadati; Pseudomonadota; Alphaproteobacteria; Hyphomicrobiales; Methylobacteriaceae. The record is from RNAcentral.
GGCAGUAGCGCAGCGGUUAGCGUACCGGCUUCAGAAGCUGGGGGUCGCAGGUUCAAAUCCUGCCUGCCCCC